UGAGUGUGCCAACCUGCAGCAUCCUCCAAGUGUAUGAAGCAUGCAAAGAGGACAGUUCUGAACGCAGAUGAUGUUGACAGUGCUCUCAGCCUCAGGAAUGUUAAGGGAGGUCGAUUUCAAAGAGACAAGGAUAUUAUUGAUAAAUGAAUCAGAUAAAAUUAUUACUGAAUCAAAGAGGCAAGGAUUUCAAAGAGGUCUGCCGCAUAUAUAUUACUGAAGCUACUCUACCCAAACUCUCGACACAGCAGUUGUAGCUCACUGGCUAACUAUUGAGGGCUUCCUCCAGCCUACAAUUCCAGAUAAUCCUCCUAUCGAUGCUUGCAGAUUAUUGAUGUAUUUUCGAAUCUUCAGCUAACAAUUACAAGCUAAAUGUACAACAGAAUGCAUACUUGGCUAAGAGGCCUACCAAAAGUUGAAGCACAUUCGGCUGCAUAUAUUGUGAAUCCAAUCAUUUAGAAAGAGCAGCUGGUCUUCUUAGUCCCGUUGGCUCUGAUUUUAAGCUCUCCAAAGGUGGCUUUGAGAGUGUAUAGAAUCUAUGUUGAUUGUAUUAAGCCUUCCAUCUCCACUGAGGGAAGCAAUGGCUCUAUGGGAUAAAACG
Lolium rigidum is the source of this 598-nucleotide long non-coding RNA. RefSeq lists it as uncharacterized. The record is from RefSeq and is a predicted model, not a curated record. Lineage: Eukaryota; Viridiplantae; Streptophyta; Magnoliopsida; Poales; Poaceae. The transcript has 5 exons.